This 469-nucleotide ribosomal RNA is filed under the name uncultured bacterium. Its description in RNAcentral is "partial 16S ribosomal RNA". It matches the Rfam family "Bacterial small subunit ribosomal RNA", at positions 28 to 507 of the family's 1533-position model. The record is from RNAcentral.
GACGAACGCUGGCGGCGUGCUUAACACAUGCCAGUCGAACGGAAAGGCCCUGCUUGCAGGGUGCUCGAGUGGCGAACGGGUGAGUAACACGUGGGUGAUCUGCCCCUUACUUUGGGAUAAGCCUGGGAAACUGGGUCUAAUACUGGAUAGGACCAUGCUGUAGGUGGUGUGGUGGAAAGAUUAGUUUCGGUAAGGGAUGAGCUCGCGGCCUAUCAGCUUGUUGGUGGGGUAAUGGCCUACCAAGGCGUCGACGGGUAGCCGGCCUGAGAGGGUGGACGGCCACAUUGGGACUGAGACACGGCCCAGACGCCUACGGGAGGCAGCAGUGGGGAAUAUUGCACAAUGGGCGCAAGCCUGAUGCAGCGACGCCGCGUGGGGGAUGACGGCCUUCGGGUUGUAAACUCCUUUCAGCCAUGACGAAGCCCUUGUGGUGACGGUAGUGGUAGAAGAAGCACCGGCUAACUACGUG